GAGGGUGUAGCUCAAUGGUAAGAGUGCAUUCUUAGCACACAGGAGGUCCUGAGUUCAAUCCCCAGUACCUCCA
RNAcentral lists this transfer RNA (73 nucleotides) under Camelus bactrianus (Bactrian camel). It matches the Rfam family "tRNA". From Rfam's summary of the family: Transfer RNA (tRNA) molecules are approximately 80 nucleotides in length. Their secondary structure includes four short double-helical elements and three loops (D, anti-codon, and T loops). Further hydrogen bonds mediate the characteristic L-shaped molecular structure. tRNAs have two regions of fundamental functional importance: the anti-codon, which is responsible for specific mRNA codon recognition, and the 3' end, to which the tRNAs corresponding amino acid is attached (by aminoacyl-tRNA synthetases). tRNAs cope with the degeneracy of the genetic code in two manners: having more than one tRNA (with a specific anti-codon) for a particular amino acid; and 'wobble' base-pairing, i.e. permitting non-standard base-pairing at the 3rd anti-codon position. RNAcentral also lists the same sequence under 2 other names. The record is from Rfam by way of RNAcentral. Lineage: Eukaryota; Metazoa; Chordata; Mammalia; Artiodactyla; Camelidae.